Molecule: ribosomal RNA, 250 nt
Filed under: uncultured bacterium
Lineage: Bacteria
Description: partial 16S ribosomal RNA
Rfam family: Bacterial small subunit ribosomal RNA
Source: RNAcentral
UAAGGAAUAUUGGACAAUGGGCGCAAGCCUGAUCCAGCCAUGCCGCGUGAAGGAAGACUGCGCUCAGCGUUGUAAACUUCUUUUGGAUGGGAAUAAUAUUGUCGACGUGAUCGGCACUUGAAGGUACCAUCAGAAUAAGCACCGGCUAACUCCGUGCCAGCAGCCGCGGUAAUACGGAGGGUGCAAGCGUUAUCCGGAAUCACUGGGUUUAAAGGGUGCGUAGGCUGUUCGAUAAGUCAGUUGUGAAAUU